Molecule: RNA transcript, 2023 nt
Organism: Mauremys reevesii (Reeves's turtle)
Lineage: Eukaryota; Metazoa; Chordata; Testudines; Geoemydidae
Gene name: interferon epsilon-like
Exons: 4
Source: RefSeq, a predicted model, not a curated record
ACUGGGGUUUAAAAGCCCCUAAAGAGGUGAAACUGAGGCAGGCUGCCUAUAGUCUGACCCUGAGCUAUGAAGAAGUGCUCAGCUCUAUGACAACUGGCCUAGUCAGUAACAUCCCCUCCUAUCAAGAAGGCCAACAGUACAGCAAUGGAGAACAAGAUGAAGGAGAGAGUCACAGCAGGGACUGCAGUAUCUUCUUGAAACUCCUACAGGAUCAGCAGAGGCAGUAGGAGGUGCUGUGGUCAGUCUAGCAGGAUCAUCAGCAGUGACAUGGAUGAAAAACACAUCUAUGAAAGACCCUGCAUAAGUUCCUGUCUCCAAGAUACUUCACACAGAGGCGGAGUGAAAGAAGACCUCAUGAUCACCAUGUGUUUGCUGCACAUCUGCCUUGUAAUGCUGUUCUCCAUUGAAAUCUCUUCUCUGGACUGUACCAUACUUCACUUCCAGCAGAAUAAAAUGAACACAGAAAGCUUAGAGCUUCUGAGCAAAAUGGGUGGACAAUUUCCUCUACAAUGCCUAAAUGAAAAUAGGAACUUCAGGCUCCCCCAGAAAGCUCUCAGGCCCAGAGAGUCCCAGGAGAAGGAUGCCAAGAUGGUAAUUCAGGAGAUCUUCCAGCAGAUCUUCAAUAUCUUCAGCGAAAACCUCACGCAAGCUGCCUGGGACAGGAGUUCUGUAGAGACAUUACAAAAUGGACUUCACUGGCAAACUGAGAAGCUAGAGACAUGUUUGCGUUCAGAGAUGGAGAAUGAGACACCCUAUUUGGGCAACAAGAAACUCCUGUUCCCCAUGCUGAAGCUGAAGAAAUACUUCCAAAGAAUCAGGGAUUUCCUGAAAGAAAAACAAUAUAGCCUGUGUGCCUGGGAGACCAUCCGCUUGGAAAUGGGGAGAUGUCUUUUGUUUGUUGACCAGCUGAUUAAAAAGGCUUAAAAACUAAGCUUUGCCACUCUCAAGAGGCACAAAUUCCUUUUCACUUAUUUGUGCUUGGACUUAUCAGUACUUCAGCUACAGAUAUAAAGACAACCGAAUGAAAUAUUCUACGCCAGAAUCUCACAUUUCUCAGUUGCCUCUUCCAAGUGAAAAGCUUCUGCCUUUUGAAUAAGCAACAGACUGAGAACAUGCACUCUACACAUGUUCUGUAUUAAAUGUCACUUUCAUGAUAUUUUGAAAUGCUUUGUUCACUUAAAAUUCACGGAAGAGGAAAAUGAUGGUGGCGGAGCAGGGAAACCACUUUGUUUAAAAAAAAAUGGACAUAAAUCAGUUCAGAAACAUGGAUGAAAAAUGUUGAGUCUGCAAAAGACUUUACAAUCCACAGUUUAUUAACAGACAAGGAGUGUAAGACUACGUGAACUUGACAGCUAUGUGUCUGCUGCAAAUGCUAAGAUGACAGUCCAAGAGAUCACACAUCAGAUCUUCAGUGUCUUUAAUAAAAAUCUCGCCCAAAUUGCCUGGAAUGGUAAUUCCAUAAAGACAUGCUCAAUUGAACACCAUGGAGACAUGUUCAGAUGCAGAUCUGGAGAGGAAAAAAUCAAUUCAGGAAGUGAGUGGAUCUAAAGCUUUACCCUGACACUGACAGGGGAAUAAAAGAUUGCAAAGACCUAUUUCCCAAAAGGUGAACAAUAGGCCUAUAUGCCUGAGAGUUUCUGUUUGGAGAAUCUAAGUUAUCUGCUUACUCAACAUCAGAAGGCUUAAAGUCUGAUAUGAAGGUCCUGGAUCAAACAAAACAGUUUAUACAAAGUUAUUACCUAAGGAGUUGAGUAUUUUAAACUAUUACUUUUGUUUCCUAAACUGAAAACACUUUGUUUACUUUUGUUUGUUGCAGUUUGUUUGAAAUCAUCUUUAUCACACUAUUUGUAAAUAAAAUUAUUUUUGUAAUAGAAAACUACUAUAGUUGUGAGAAUUACUCCAGAUAAGCAGUGACAUCUGAUUUAUGCAUUUAAUCACACAAUCAUGUCACUUUGCAGCAAGUUGUGACCCUGAUUCUGCAUUUCUAGAACACCCAGUAAAUUAAAUGCAAGAAUGUACCUCA